This 3091-nucleotide long non-coding RNA is filed under the name Sus scrofa (pig). RNAcentral's name for it is "lncRNA (ENSSSCG00045018237.1)". Lineage: Eukaryota; Metazoa; Chordata; Mammalia; Artiodactyla; Suidae. The record is from RNAcentral.
UCUCAUUUAGUGCGAAACCCCCUGGAACCCGGCCCGGGUCAGUGUUACUCACUUAGGAAGUCAGUUGGUAAGUUCCUAUUGAUGGAAUGGGACGUCACCACUUCCUGCCCCUCAGCGUUAUCAUCGGUCACUCCAGCCCAGGUGGCCUCCUGCAGAGAGCCCUCAUGAUAGGACGGCCCUAGAAAAGGCAAAAAGACAAAACAAAAAACAAAAAACAAACAAAAAAAACCUUGGCUUUUCAAGGUUUAAUAUGGACAAAAUUCAGAGUUUAUUUUGCUUCCGUAAUAAUAGCUCAAUUGCUUUUCUUCUCUCUGUCUUUGCCUGGCUAAUUUCUUCUCCAUAUUUAAGACUCUGCUGAGGUAGCUUCUCCCAGAAGCCUUUCCUAAUACGCACAGCAUCUCUCACCCCUACCUCUCUUUCUCUCUCUCUCUCCACCCUCCCCCCAUCGACACACACACUGGGUUUGAUGUCCUUAAUAUAUGUUUCCCUAAGGGUCUGUCCAUACAUCUGCCAUGAAACUUAAUGUCCUAUUUUGAUUAUCUUUCCAUGUGUACAUCUCUCUUACUAACCCUGUACACACUUAAAAGCAAAGAAUAUAUCUUCUUCUUCUUUGACUCUCAGACCCCUGCCCAGAGUAGUCCAAAACUGCUAACUGAAUGAAUGAGCAAACAAACAAUGAUGCCAGAAAACUUAAACAUGUAUCAGACACUAAGUUUACUUACGAUAAAUUGAACUGGAAGCAGCUCAAACUACUGGAUUGAAAACCAAUGACGUUUUUAAGCCCACUCCACCAUAAACCCAACCCAAACUGGGCUACAAAGUUAAGCAUUUUUCAUAUAUUUUCUUUUGGUCCAAAUGUCUUAAUAUUUGUAGACAAAGGAAUAGGGUCCUCUACCACAGAGAUAGAUUGGUGUUUUAAUAUUGACUGACUUUCUGCAAAUUCAUAGAUGAUGUAAAAACAUUUGCAGAAUAACGAUUUCCUACCACUGCCUACAGUGGCCAUUCACAGCAGAUAACUUACCAGAAUUUCCAGGUAGUAAAAGCGAAUUAGGUCAGUGCUCCAUAAAAUAAUAUGGUAAUUGUUAGUAGUCGUCUUUUCGAUUAUUACUGUAAACUAUAUUUUGUACUCAUAUAAGCAUAUAUUUGCAUAAUAGCAGCAUUGUUGAAUUUGAUGUUCAGUAGUUAUCUGAAAACAGUUACACACAAUGCUCCACUCUGUAUGGAAUAGAUGUCCGAUAGCCAGAAGAGAGGUGCUCAAAGUAAGAUAUAUUUGUAAUUAUUACCCAACUGGUUAAAAAAAACAAAAGGAUGGAGAACUCCAAAGUGUCUGUGGUUGGAUAUGCGUGAAUAUAUUUUUAUGGUAUUAAUUAGAAUCAGUUCUUAACUACAUCUUGAAAUUUUGGUUACAGUAUGUAACCCAAGGGGGAAAAUUCCAUUUCUCUAUAAAAUUAGCAGGAUUGACAGGUCUACAUGUAUAUACAUUCUGUGUCAUAAGCUCUGUGGAAUUGUCCACACAUAACCUUAGAAAGAUUGUUACCCCCAGUUAGACAGUAGGCUUUCUGUGUACUUGCACAGAGGUCUUACUUUCAAAAUCUCUACCUCCUUGAAGGUUAUACCACCCCAGAGGUGUCACUUGCUUAUUUCUCCAACGUAUGUUCAUUCAGUUCUUGGUAUGUGCUCCAAGUCCAAGUCCACAAUGGUGAAAACCAGGCAGGUUCUUCUCCUGCUGCUUUGUCAUUAUCCUGAUUUGGCAGAUGAGCUAAUAGACUUAUAGUCAGAUUCUCACAAUGGGGCUGCUAGAGGCGGUCUCCACGUGCAGAUGCUCAUGUGUGUGCUGAGACAAAUAGAACGUUGCAUAAUGUUUUUCAGUCUAUGGAAACAGGGUGUGGCUUAUAUACAUUUUUGUGCCUUAAAAAUAUUAGGAAUAUGGAUAAACAGAUACACACCACUGUGUAUAAAAUAGGUAAACAACAAGGACUGACUUUACAGCUCAGGGAACUAUGUUCAAUAUGUCAUGAUAACCCAUAAUGGAGGAGAAUCUGAAAAAAACAGCAAUCCUUAAAGAAUUAAUUAUGUAAAUCUCUAAUGACCCAGCAGUGGCACUCCUGGGCAUUCAUCCUAGAGAAAGGAAAACUUAUGUUCACAUAAAAAGCUAUAUACAAAUGUUCAUAACAGAUUUAUCAUAAUACUCAAAAAAGAAACAACCCAGAUUGCCUCCGACUGAUGAAUGGCUAAAUAAAUGUGCUUUUCCAUCUAUAUGACAUUCUUCACGUUACAAGAUCAUACAAGUAAAGAACAGCUUAAUGGCAGCCUGGGGUUAAGCAGGGGGUAGAGACAGAGGGAUGUAGGUGUAGCUUUAAAAGAGCACAUGCAGGAAUUCCCCUGUGGUGCAGCGGAAACGAAUCUGACUAGGAAACAUGAGGUUGCGAGUUCGAUCCCUGGCCUCACUCAGUGGCUUGAGGAUCUGGCGUUGCCAUGAGCUGUGGUGUAGGUUGCAGAUGCAGCUCGAUCCCACAUUGGUGUGGCUGUGGUAUAGGCUGGCAGCUACAGCUCCGAUUAGACCCCUCACCUGGGAACCUGUAUAUGCUGCGGUGUGGCCCUAAAAAGACAAAAAGGGGGGGCAAAUGCGAGGGGACCCAUCAUUGACAGGAUGUUCCGCAUCUUGACAGUGUCAACAAUAUCUUGACUGUGAUUUUGUGCUGAAGUUGAUGCUACCAUUGGGGUAAAUUAAGUAAAGGAUAUACAAGAUCCCUGUGUAUAAUUUCUUCAGCUGCAUGUGAACCUACAGUUAUGUCAAGAGGAAAAGUUUAAUUGAAAAAGUAUACAGGAGUUCCCAUCGUGGCGCAGUGGUUAACGAAUCCGACUAGGAACCAUGAGGUUGCGGGUUCGGUCCCUGCUCUUGCUCAGUGGGUUAAUGAUCCGGCGUUGCCAUGAGCUGUGGUGUAGGUUGCAGACGCGGCUCGGAUCCCGCGUUGCUGUGGCUCUGGCGUAGGCCGGUGGCUACAGCUCCGAUUCGACCCCUAGCCUGGGAACAUCCAUAUGGGACGGGAGUGGCCCAAAGAAAUAGCAAAAAGACAAAAAAAAAGAAAAA